UGGUAAUUAGUUUAAUUAAAAUUAAUGAUUUCGACUCAUUAGAUUAUGACUUCACUCAUAAUUACCAA
RNAcentral lists this transfer RNA (68 nucleotides) under Dephomys defua (Defua Dephomys). RNAcentral describes it as "tRNA-Arg". The record is from RNAcentral. Lineage: Eukaryota; Metazoa; Chordata; Mammalia; Rodentia; Muridae.